AUCUAGAUAGUUUAAUAAAAAUAUUGAUUUGUGGUAUCAAAGUUAUAAAUUUUUAUUUUAGAUU
RNAcentral lists this transfer RNA (64 nucleotides) under Xuthea yunnanensis. Its description in RNAcentral is "tRNA-His". The record is from RNAcentral. Lineage: Eukaryota; Metazoa; Arthropoda; Insecta; Coleoptera; Chrysomelidae.